CGGCGCUGGAGGAGGCCACCGACGUACGACGCCAUGGGGAAGCGAGAGAGAAGCCGAGGCGAGCGCGCCAUGACGGGCGACGCCAGCGAGGCGAGGCGAGGCGAGGUGCGGCGAGAAAGAAAAUUAUCACCGUCGGCGCUGUCAUCAAUAUGGAGGACACCGUGCGACGAUGCCGCCGUGUCGUUGUGCCGCGUGUCGUCGGGAACCGGAGGCUCGCCCGGGCACGUCCCGGAGCUGUCCGCCCGCGCGAAUAUUGUGGAAACUUACCGUACGUCGACGUAGAAUAGGACUGUGGAUGCUGAGCGACCCGAUGAGUCGAUACUAAGCCACCAAAUACAACACGUAAACCUACGAUCGUCGCGUGAGGGCGUUGUAUAAGAGGAAAUAUGGCCGAUCGAACUGCGAAGGUUCAAAUGCUGCGCUGUUCUGCGCGUUGGCAGCUGCGCACUGACACGUCACGCGUUACGCUCCCGUGUUUAUACGCCGCCCGCUCGAUCGUCGUUUCUGGACAUCCGUGGGCAUCUUCCGGAAGACGUAGAAACAACCUUUCGCGAACGUCCCGGACGUUCCGAACUCUCUGGUCACAAAUUAUUUCGAUUCCAUUCGAUCAGAUUCGCGUAAAUGCACGAUGCGUACGCGAGAAAGUUGAUUCAUCGCAUGUCUAACGCGAGAGAAACGGCAAUGGCGUUGACUUUUUUUUUAUCGGAUACGCCAUCGUUUAAUUUUUGUAUACAAUUGAUUCAAUUUUUUAGAAUAUUUUUUUGUAUAAAAGAUCAACUAAAUAAGACUUUAUUUCAUCCUGUUUGAAUCGCAUCCGGUUUUUACAUGCGGAACUCUACGCAGACGAUCUGGCGGCCAAUCAACUUUCCGCUUUUUCCGGAAUGACAGAUAUGUAGUAAAAGGCGAUUGGCCAUUGCGUCCGCUUCUUAUUGUAUAGAAUUGAUUGGUUAAAUUUUCUACGCAUUCGCAUUGUGCGAGUUUAUCUGGACGAGUUUUAAAGGCCAUUUGACAAACAAAAUUCGCGCGUAACUUGGACUACCAUUAACUCGCGUAUUUAGUUGCAAAAUAGAUCCUUUGCUUUUUACUACUCUUAAUUCAUCAUUGUAUCGGCAAAUUAUACCGCCAACCUUCAUACAAACACUAUUAAUGCCAAUUUGUUGCAAUACGUUUUAAAUAUAAAAUAUAAAGGAACAAAAAUAAAAC
Long non-coding RNA from Monomorium pharaonis (pharaoh ant), 1203 nucleotides. RefSeq lists it as uncharacterized. NCBI's taxonomy places the organism in Eukaryota, Metazoa, Arthropoda, Insecta, Hymenoptera, Formicidae. The transcript is spliced from 2 exons. The record is from RefSeq and is a predicted model, not a curated record.